AUGUAUGAACAGCAAUAUUCUCAAAUGAACAUCGCGUCCAAACCCAUGUUCCAGAUGUGCGUCAUGGUGGCCUCCCUUCUCAUCACCUCAGGGGAUGUUGCGGCUGCUAGACAACAACAUGCUCGAAUGAGAGGCUUCGUUUUGCAGCGGAUGCUUGUGAUAGCCAACCUCUGGAUAAUAUGCAGCGGCAGUGUUCAGAAACAAGUUCUCCUGCCAGGGUUCAGUGUCUCUGAAAAUGAUUACAUCGAUAAUAAUGGAACUUUUCUGUUGUCCAAUGGCUUCGUAUAUGGCUUCGGCUUUGUAACCAGUAGUGUGUCAGAGAGCUCCUAUCUUCUCUCGGUGGUGCACCUAGCCUCCACUUCUGUCGUCUGGACUGCUAAUGCUAACUCUCCUGUUUCUCAUACGGAUGCCUUUGUGUUCGACAAGGAUGGUAAUGCCUACCUGCGGUCUCAAGGCUCCACUGCCUGGACUGCCAAUCUCUCCGGCAAGGGCGCCUCUAUUCGGCUGCUGGACUCUGGCAAUCUUAUAGUGCUCGGCAAAGACGGCUCUUCUCUUGUAUGGCAGAGUUUGAGCUAUCCAACGAACACACUUUUGUCUGGCCAGAGCUUCACUGAUGGGAUGACACUUGUGAGCCAGUCCAGCACAAACAACAUUAGUUAUACACUUGGCAUCACAUCAGGGGACAUGAGGUUGUACGCAGGCUUCCAGAACCCCCAACCUUACUGGUCUGCUGUGCUGGAUACAAGGUCGUUCGUGGACAUGAAUGGCGACAUCUACUCUUCAAACCUCAAUUCAACUUCGUGGUACUUCUAUGAUAAAUCAGGGUCUCUUCUAUCACGGCUUAACAUUGCGCAGCAGAGUAGUGCCAAUGACACAUUGGCUGUUGUCCUCAGCGACAUUGGAUCCCUUUCCUUCCGCAUCCUCCUACAGAUUGCCGAUGGCACGCGCUACAUGGCUAGUCUCCCAUUCGCAAUCCCGGAGGACUCAUGUGACAUGCCAGCCCAGUGCGACCCCUAUUCCGUUUGCAUUAGUGGAGCAGGAUGCCAGUGCCCGUCAGCACUUAGCACCUUUCCAAACUGCAACCCCUGUCUCAUAUCACCAUGUAACUCAAAAGAGGACUUUCAGCUAGCUCAACUGGAUAGUGGAGUUGGGUAUAUUGGCACUAGGUUCACCCGGCCCUUGGCUAGAACAAAUAUCAUAGGAUGCAAGGAUGCGUGCAUGGGCAAUUGCUUCCUUUUCAACCAGAUCGGUAGUUUGCAGAAGAAAGGUGAAAGGAAACCUGCUUCUGUAUCUUUUAUCAAGGUAUCUAGCACUAACCAUGGCUCGGGGAAAGGUGGGAGUGGCGCCGGGAGGCACACCGUCGUUACUGUUGUCAUUGUGGUCGGACCGUUGGCUGUCAUAGGGGUUCUUGUUUAUGUUGGCUUCAGCAUUUAUCAUCGUCGUCGGAGGCAACCUUCACCCUCACAAGAACAAGACGAUGGGUUUCUCCGGACGAUAUCUGGAGCACCAAUGCGGUUUACUUACACGGAGCUCCGAGGUGCUACAAACAACUUCGCUGACAAGCUUGGUCAGGGAGGAUUUGGAUCCGUGUAUCUCGGAACACUCCCAGAUGGGAGUAGCAUUGCUGUAAAGAAGCUGGAGGGCCUAGGCCAAGGGGAGAGAGAGUUUCGUUCUGAGAUGACAACAAUUGGCAACAUCCACCACGUUCAUCUAGUUAAACUCCGAGGUUUUUGCGUCGAGGGGGCACAAAGGCUUCUUGCGUACGAGUACAUGCCCAAGGGGUCUCUAAACAGGUGGAUUUUGAGUACUAGAGUGGAUGCUCCCCUUCUAGACUGGGAUACAAGGUUUCGCAUUGCACUUGGAACAGCAAAGGGGCUGGCGUACCUCCAUCAGGACUGCGAGUCCAAGAUUAUACAUUGCGACAUCAAGCCUGAGAACGUUCUACUUGAUGACAACUUCCAUGCAAAGGUAGCUGACUUUGGGCUUGCCAAGUUGAUGAGCAGGGAGCAAAGCCAUGUUUUCACCAGGCUCAGAGGCACACGGGGCUAUGUUGCGCCCGAGUGGAUCACCAACUACGCCAUCUCAGAUAAGAGCGACGUGUACAGCUACGGGAUAGUCCUGCUCGAGAUAAUCAGCGGAAGGAGGAGCUUCGACCCCUUGGAAGCCUCGGAGAAGGCCCAUUUCCCACCCUUCGCUUUCAAGAAGCUGGAGGAAGGCGAUCUUCGCAAUAUCGUCGACGCCAAGUUGGCGUACGACGAUGAAGAUGACCGGGUGGAGAUAGCUAUCAGGGUUGCUCUGUGGUGCAUUCAGGAGGAUUUCUCCUGGAGACCUUCCAUGUCGAAAGUUGUCCAGAUGCUCGAAGGCGUCUGUGAUGUGCCGCAGCCACCGACGUCCUCGCAUGUUGUGGACCGGCUCCAUCCGAAUGCUUUCAAGCCGACUGAUACUCUACUUUCAGCUGUGCAGCUGUCUAGUCCCAGAUGA
RNAcentral lists this ribosomal RNA (2481 nucleotides) under Triticum aestivum (bread wheat). RNAcentral describes it as "partial small subunit ribosomal RNA". Lineage: Eukaryota; Viridiplantae; Streptophyta; Magnoliopsida; Poales; Poaceae. The record is from RNAcentral.